UGAACGCUGACAGAAUGCUUAACACAUGCAAGUCAACUUGAAUUUGGGUUUUUAACUUAGGUUUGGGUGGCGGACGGGUGAGUAACGCGUAAAGAACUUGCCUCACAGCUAGGGACAACAUUUGGAAACGAAUGCUAAUACCUAAUAUUAUGAUAAUAGGGCAUCCUAUAAUUAUGAAAGCUAUAAGCGCUGUGAGAGAGCUUUGCGUCCCAUUAGCUAGUUGGAGAGGUAACGGCUCACCAAGGCGAUGAUGGGUAGCCGGCCUGAGAGGGUGAUCGGCCACAAGGGGACUGAGACACGGCCCUUGCUCCUACGGGAGGCAGCAGUGGGGAAUAUUGGACAAUGGACCGAGAGUCUGAUCCAGCAAUUCUGUGUGCACGAUGAAGUUUUUCGGAAUGUAAAGUGCUUUCAGUUGGGAAGAAACAAAUGACGGUACCAACAGAAGAAGUGACGGCUAAAUACGUG
RNAcentral lists this ribosomal RNA (465 nucleotides) under uncultured bacterium. RNAcentral describes it as "partial 16S ribosomal RNA". It matches the Rfam family "Bacterial small subunit ribosomal RNA", at positions 30 to 507 of the family's 1533-position model. The record is from RNAcentral.